This 414-nucleotide ribosomal RNA is filed under the name Culicoides oxystoma. RNAcentral's name for it is "partial 16S ribosomal RNA". Lineage: Eukaryota; Metazoa; Arthropoda; Insecta; Diptera; Ceratopogonidae. The record is from RNAcentral.
UGACCGGGGCCCAAGUAGCAUAAUCAUUUGUCUUUUAAUUAAAGGCUUGUAUGAAUGGUUGGAUGAGAUAUAAUCUAUUUUUAUUUAAUUAAAAAUGAAUUUUAAUUUUUAGUAAAAAUGCUAAAAUAAAAAAUAUAGACGAGAAGACCCUAUAAAUCUUUAUUAUUUUUUUAUUAAUUUAUUAAUAGAAUAUUAAAUUUAUUAGUAUAAAAAUAAUUUUAUUGGGGUGAUAAUGAAAUUUAAUAAACUUUUAUUUUAUUUUAUAAAUAUAAUUAAUUUAAUGAUCCAUUUUUAAUGAUUAUAAAAUUAAGUUACUUUAGGGAUAACAGCGUGAUUAUUUUAAAGAGUUCAUAUCGAUAAAAUAGUUUGCGACCUCGAUGUUGAAUUAAGAGUAAGUUUAGGUGUAGAAGUUUA